RNA transcript from Cornus florida, 1459 nucleotides. It is a transcript of the gene named glutathione S-transferase T3-like, with no coding region annotated. The transcript is spliced from 4 exons. Lineage: Eukaryota; Viridiplantae; Streptophyta; Magnoliopsida; Cornales; Cornaceae. The record is from RefSeq and is a predicted model, not a curated record.
CUACAGAAAAGAAGGGACGGCUCUAAUUUCGGUUUGUUUUGUCUAGGGCAACAGAGAGAGAGAGAGAGAGGAGAACCGUGGCAACAUAAACGGAAGAGACCGGCCACCAGCGACAAAAAGUUAAUCUCUUCCUCAUCAUUGUCUCUCUGAUUCGUCGUCGAGUCAAUCCAUUGCUCUUCCUCAUCAUUGUAGGAGCAUAAACCCCCUUUAUGGUCUCAUAAAUCCCCUUGAAGCUCUGAAUAUGCUGACAUGGAAAGGGAGCUUGUAGAGCCAACAAACUACCAUACAGAUAGUUGCAGGCGUGUCCGUCUCUUGUAAGACACAGGUUUAAAGGUCAAUUAAUAACUAUCAAUUGAAGUCUCUCAAUCAUCAACAAAGCGGGGAAAGACAUUCACGCCGGAUCAAGAUAUAGCAAUUUGUAAUGCUUGGUUGAGCAUCACCCAAGAUCCAAUAGUUGGUAACUCGCAAUCACAGAGUACGUUUUGGAAUUGGAUAUUUCAAAAUUAUCUUGAUCACUCCAAUGACGAAAAUGUACGAACACAAGUUGCUAUCCAAUCUCGUUGGGGCAUAAUCAUGAAGUCUUGCAUUAAAUAUAGUGGGUGCGUCAGACAAAUUGAAAAUAGGCAACAAAGUGGAAUCAAUGAAACAGAUAAGGUUCUUCAAGCAAAAAGUUUGUAUUAUGAAAAUGAGAAGAAACACUUUUCUUUGGAUCAUUGUUGGGCAAUUUUGGAACAUGCCAUUAAGUGGAAAGAUUGGGGAUCCUCCAAAAAGCCAAAGUCUCCUGCAAUGACCCCAUAUUCCUUUUCCCCAUUUUCCUCUUCCGCAUCCCAAAUUCCUGAGACGCCCAUUUCUCUCGAUUCCGAUCAAGAUCGAACCGAAAAAUUUGUUGACUCCCCAACAACCAAAAGGCCUAGUGGAAGGAAAGCUGCAAAAAAAGCACGUAAGAAAAGCAAGAUAGCAGAUACUUCAGACACUCGUUUUUGUGAUUUGAUGGAAAAAUUUAACGAAACUACAACUGACAGAUAUAUGAAGAAGUGUGAAAUAGAAGAAAGAAAAUUUAAAGUAAUGCAGCAAAUGAAUCAAAGGGAGCAAGAAGAGAAAUAAGCCAAGAUUAUGAUGAUGGACCUUUCCAACAUGGACCCUCAGGCAAAAGUUUAUUACCAGCUGCUUAAGAAUGAGAUUCUUGCCAAACUACAAGCACGCUCAACAAACUUUGAUUAUUAUGUUCCUUUUCCCCCAUGUCCACCAUGAAGGACAAGUGAAGUUUAGCACUUUCUAGGAAUAUGCUAUUUUGGUUUGUUCCUUGUAUAAAGUUUAGCACUUUCUAGAAAUAUGCUAUUUUGGUUUGUCCCCUGUAUGAAGUUUAGGACUAUUUUUCAAUAUGUUAUUUUGGUUUGUUCCCUGUAUGAAGUAGUAUGCUUGACAAUGAAAGUAAAGGCAAUGGACUGUGUUGUCGAAA